GCUGGACCAAAUUAAAAUGCUAUUCUGUCAUUGUAAUAGUUCAUAUGGGCACUGACAGAAUCGCAUUUUAAUUUUGUCAAGU
This is a non-coding RNA of Sarcophilus harrisii (Tasmanian devil), 82 nucleotides long. Lineage: Eukaryota; Metazoa; Chordata; Mammalia; Dasyuromorphia; Dasyuridae. The record is from Rfam.